UCCUUCACUUGGCAGUCUUCCUCUACUUCAUCAAUUACGUUUCGCAUUCCAAAUCAAUAGCAAUACAAUGUUUCAUUUAGCUCAUUUAAUACUGCACAGUAUACAAGGCAACCUAAAAAUUGUGGUUUGCCAUCAAGCUUGUUUGGUCAUUGUGUAUCAUUUCUCAUUUGUAUCGGUACACAAGGUUUAUUCAUAAUUUAGUACAAUGUAUAAUUUGUGAUAUGCUUUCUCAAGAAACAAAAACAACAACAAAGUCUUUCAGUUCCUAGCAAGUUGGGGUAGGCUAUAGCUAAAAUCCAACAGGAGCCACUAAUCAAGGUGCAGGCACAUGAAUAGGCUUUUCAAGCACUCCUAUUCAAGCAGAAAUCUUUGGGUAUAUCCCAUUUUUUCAAGUCUAUUUCUGUUGCCUCCUCCCAUGCCAAUUACAGCCUUCCCCUUCCUCUCCUCACAUUAUUAUUGUGGCUUAGGAUUCCACUAUGCACUGGUGCCUCCAGGGGUCUUCUUUGGACAUGGCCAAACCAUCUCAACCAGUGUUGGACAAGCUUUUCUUCAAUUGGUGCUACCCCCUAGCCGAUCACGCCAACAUUCUGCCCCAUACAACAUUGCAAGUCUAAUCACGGCUCAGUAAGGGUGUGUUCGGUUCGAGUCAUCAGGUGGAAUGUAACGGGUCCGUUCAGCACCUAGGGGUCGUUCUUUUGUUUGGUUGGGUCGAGGAUUUGGAAUCCACUCGUUCCUGAACGGCAUAUUCCCCUUAGAUCCAAAAUGUGCUCAUACCUCUAAAUCGGUGGAACGACGUGGAAUGCCUCACGUGUCUCACCUUCUCCCCGACUCUGCCCCUCCCUCGACCAAGCCAAGCUUCAGCCGUCACCCUCUCCCUGUCUCUCGUCUCUCCCUCCGGCCGGCGGCUCGGGCUGUCACUGCCCUCAUUCCCGACGCUCUCUCUCCCUAUUGAAGUUGUGGCGGCGACGCACCGCAGAUAUGGCUGAAGAAGACGAGCCGCAACAGCGACGACACGUUGGGCCCUGGUCUGCAACAAGGAACAGCUGCAACAGCAACGCCAUAUGGGCCUUGCGUGCGCCGUUCCCUACAACGGGUGCGUCGGGCCCUUGUCUGCAACAAGGAACAAUGGCAACAACGGCGGUGUGUUGCCGCUGCCUAGGUGAGCGCGUCCAGCCCUGCCCCUGACAGGGAGCAGCGUACUUCCUGCCAUAUGCAACUAUGGAGACUGGGCACUGAUUUGCUGUCUGUUGCUGUGUGACACUAUGAGAGAUUGGUGAAAUUUGGUGCGUACCCAUGGACAUUAGGCACCGAUUUGCUGGCUGCUGUUUUUUUUAUCAUAAGAAGGGCCUUCCCCUCCGAUUUCCACUAAAUGAAAAACCAUCUGGGGGCUCAUCCGGUUUGGAGGAUUUCAUAACGUAGGAAUUAGGACUAGUAUAGGAAUUUUAUAGGAUGGCACUUGCCACCCUAAGGAAUUGGCUCGCCUCGUUCCUACGCGCAAAAUGAGCUUUGAGUGGAUGUGUAAUUUCCUCC
Non-coding RNA from Triticum urartu, 1530 nucleotides. The record is from RefSeq and is a predicted model, not a curated record. Lineage: Eukaryota; Viridiplantae; Streptophyta; Magnoliopsida; Poales; Poaceae.